CCCCAGAUGUUGCUGAACUACAACUCCCAUGAUUCCCUGAUGAUGAUCUGUUUCAUUGAAAGACUCAUGGGAGUUGUAGUUCAGCAACAUCUGGGG
This 96-nucleotide microRNA precursor is filed under the name Pelobates cultripes (western spadefoot toad). The record is from RNAcentral. Lineage: Eukaryota; Metazoa; Chordata; Amphibia; Anura; Pelobatidae.